This 1497-nucleotide long non-coding RNA is filed under the name Felis catus (domestic cat). Its description in RNAcentral is "lncRNA (ENSFCAG00000050739.1)". The record is from RNAcentral. Lineage: Eukaryota; Metazoa; Chordata; Mammalia; Carnivora; Felidae.
GCUUCCAACAGUUGGUGCAGGAGGGGAAGUUUCUGGAAGCCUACCUGAGCGUCUCCGCGUCAGCAUGGGAAGGGCAGGACUGCGGCCCCCAGUACCAGGCUCUGGCCCAGAGCAUGUGGCAAGUGGUCCAGCAGGCUCUGGAGGGCGUCAGGCUCGGCCAGGAGCUGGAGCUGAAGCUCCAGGCGGUGCUGGACACUGUGGAGUACACACAGGACCAGCCCCCGAGCCCGGAGGCCGGUACCCUCGAGGACGGCACAGUCGCCACCUGGGGCAGUCAGCUGGAGAGGCUGCUGAGAAAUGACGCUGAGGCCCGAGUGCCCACCUGGGACCCCAGGGACGAGCUGGGCCCUUUCCUGGAGAAGCUAAAGGAGGCUGUGAGACAGGGCCUGGGGUUGCUGAGGGCGAGCCGGCUGGGGGCCCGUCUCUGGACGAUCUACAGCACCUGCUUCCAGGAGGUCCUCCUCAGCCGCCUCUUGGAGCUCAAGCACUCCUGCGGCACCAGCUGGAACAGCUGCUGCGUGCUGUAUGCCUGGGGCAGGACGACCUUGUUUGGGCAGCUGGGGUGAGUCCUCCUGGAGGAGCUUGGGGUCCUGGGUGAGGGCCCCCAGGCCAGGGCUGCGGUCGACACAGAGCCUUUCGAGGGGCCACCUGGGCGGGGCUGGUGGCCGGAGAAGGCAGAUGCAGCCCCAGCCUCGGGGACACAUGUGUGUCAGUGUGCUUGUCGUGUAUAUGUGCCCGUGCGUUAGUAUGUUAGGGUGUGUUUUUGUGUGUGUGUGUGUGGGGGGAGGCUCACGGUCCACACUUGUGUGUGACCAGAGACUGGUCUACGCCAACAGAGCCUCUGGCUCUGGUUUCUCAACCCCAGCUGCCCUCUCUAGUCACUGGGCCUUGUGCAGGGGCGAGGGGCGGGCAGCACAGGCUGGGGAGGGGGCGAGGCCCGGCCUGGAGUCCACUGCCCUUAGCGCUGAGCUGUCCUCCGCAGCCCAGUCCCUCCCCCAACCCCAGCUCAGCUCUGCGCCCCUCGUGGUUCCUUCCAAACCCAGCAGGGAGACGCUUCCGAAUGCACCUUCCACCUCCCAGAAGCCCACGGCCGGGUACCUCUUGGACUCCAUGAUGUUUGUGACCUGGAUGUCCCAAGUGCAGAAGAAGCUGGUGGGGCUGGUCCAGGAAAGGCUGGAGGAGACUCUAGAAAAUGUCCUGAUCUGCGAUCAGAAAAAGUGGGCCCCGUUCUCCCACCCAACGUUCCUUGAAAUCUUCCAGCUGCUGGAAGAAGCCAUAAUUGCAGCAAGACCCAUUGGACCAUCGGUCACUAGCCAAGUUCAAGCCAUGGUUCUGGAAAUAUUUUCAAAGUUUCUGAACAGGUACCAGGACAAGGCUGUCCACUUCCUGCAGCAGAACGCCACUGCGGGGGCCUUCCCCGAGGUGCACCUGCUGGGAAACUGCUGCAUCCUCAGGGUCUGGCAGAACCCUGACUGCCCUGAACAGAGGUGGAAGUGA